Molecule: ribosomal RNA, 293 nt
Filed under: uncultured bacterium
Lineage: Bacteria
Description: partial 16S ribosomal RNA
Rfam family: Archaeal small subunit ribosomal RNA
Source: RNAcentral
GUGCCAGCCGCCGCGGUAAUACCGGCAGCCCGAGUGAUGGCCGAUCUUAUUGGGCCUAAAGCGUCCGUAGCUGGCUGCGCAAGUCCGUCGGGAAAUCCACGCGCUCAACGCGUGGGCGUCCGGUGGAAACUGCACGGCUUGGGGCCGAGAGACUCGACGGGUACGUCCGGGGUAGGAGUGAAAUCCCAUAAUCCCGCACGGACCACCGAUGGCGAAAGCACUUCGAGAAAACGGAUCCGACAGUGAGGGACGAAAGCCAGGGUCUCCAACCGGAUUAGAAACCCUGGUAGUCC